GGAUUGUGGCUCAGUGGCAGAGUGCUUGCCUCUCAUGUAGGAGGCACUGGGUUCGAUUCUCAGCACCA
Molecule: transfer RNA, 68 nt
Filed under: Marmota monax (woodchuck)
Lineage: Eukaryota; Metazoa; Chordata; Mammalia; Rodentia; Sciuridae
Description: tRNA.Glu
Rfam family: tRNA (bases 5-65)
About the family: Transfer RNA (tRNA) molecules are approximately 80 nucleotides in length. Their secondary structure includes four short double-helical elements and three loops (D, anti-codon, and T loops).
Source: RNAcentral